GAUGAACGCUGGCGGCGUGCAUAACACAUUCAAGUCGAACGAGGUAGCAAUACCUAGUGGCGGACGGGUGAGUAACGCGUGAGGAACCUGCCUAGGAGUGGGGAAUAACAGUCCGAAAGGACUGCUAAUACCGCAUAAUGCAGUUGGGUCGCAUGGCUCUGACUGCCAAAGAUUUAUCGCUCUUAGAUGGCCUCGCGUCUGAUUAGCUAGUUGGUAGGGUAACGGCCUACCAAGGCGACGAUCAGUAGCCGGACUGAGAGGUUGGCCGGCCACAUUAGGACUGAGACACGGCCCAAACUCCUACGGGAGGCAGCAGUGGGGAAUAUUGGACAAUGGGGGAAACCCUGAUCCAGCGACGCCGCGUGAGUGAAGAAGUAUUUCGGUAUGUAAAGCUCUAUCAGCAGGGAAGAAAAUGACGGUACCUGACUAAGAAGCUCCGGCUAAAUACGUG
RNAcentral lists this ribosomal RNA (451 nucleotides) under uncultured bacterium. RNAcentral's name for it is "bacterial SSU rRNA". It matches the Rfam family "Bacterial small subunit ribosomal RNA", at positions 28 to 507 of the family's 1533-position model. The record is from RNAcentral.